Long non-coding RNA from Syzygium oleosum, 448 nucleotides. RefSeq lists it as uncharacterized. The record is from RefSeq and is a predicted model, not a curated record. Lineage: Eukaryota; Viridiplantae; Streptophyta; Magnoliopsida; Myrtales; Myrtaceae. The transcript is spliced from 2 exons.
GGAUGGUGAUUUGAAGCUGAUGAAAUAGCAAAAGACCUGAUCGAUUGCCGCUCUCUUCAUUUCUAUGAGCUUCACUCUCCUCCUUGUCUUAUUCCCGUGGAGAUCAUCCAUUGCCUUUAUCAUCAGCUAUGAGCUGUAGAUGAACGAUGCUUCGCCGGAGCAGCUUGAGGUAGCCAUGUUUAAAGCUCGAGAGAUCCUGAUGAAUAAAAGCGCUUUGGUCUUCAUAGUCCUGGUCAGCCUUCUGGUCUUAGAAGUAACUCUGUCAUAUGGGAGGAAAAGUACUCAUUAAACGCUUCAAGCCGCGAGCAACUCCUCUCUAUUUCUCAUAGAAAAGUCAACUUUUCUAGAUUGGUUGGAGGACAUCGUAGCCUGGGUUGCUUAAUGUACAAUGCUUACUCAAUUUGCCUGGAAAUUUCCAAGGAAAGAAAAGUCAAUGGGUCACAAGUAA